UGGCCCUAUUACGUUGAAAUACCAGUUCCCGUAAGAUCACCGAAGUUAACCAAAGUCGAGCCUGAUCAGUACCUAUACGGGUGACCGCUUGCGAAUACCAGGUGCUGUAA
This is a non-coding RNA of Acanthosepion pharaonis, 110 nucleotides long. The record is from the annotation of a GenBank genome assembly. NCBI's taxonomy places the organism in Eukaryota, Metazoa, Mollusca, Cephalopoda, Sepiida, Sepiidae.